Molecule: long non-coding RNA, 1048 nt
Filed under: Cyanistes caeruleus (blue tit)
Lineage: Eukaryota; Metazoa; Chordata; Aves; Passeriformes; Paridae
Description: lncRNA (ENSCCEG00000022452.1)
Source: RNAcentral
CUCUGAAGGACCUCAUGAAUACUUCUUUUGUUUGUUUUGCAUUAAAAGUUUUACCAAAAGUUGACUACAGGAGGAGCACAUAGACUUUGUGCUGAGAAUCCUUUAAGGUACCGUUAGAGAGCAGCAGAGGUCCAUGGAAAAGCUUUUAAUUCAGCAGGUUAUUUUUGUGGUUAAUUCAAACAGAGAGACUCGAUACCUUUUUGGUACUCUUUGCAGUCUGGCAAAUAGUCUGUUUUCCAGCACUGAAUAAACAGCAUUCUUCUUUCUUGCUUACCACAAUCACUCGAGGCUUUGCCUGUUUGACAGAGAUAAUAGCAGCUAUUGUCAGUAAAACCUCCUGACUCAUAAAGAAGUUUAUUCCUGCUCUGCUUUCUCCAGAGAGUUACUUUACUUCAGGACACAAAGGGCUGGAUUCUUCCUGCCGUCCUUGCCAGACUUCAUUUUAUUUUUUACAUGACAGGAGAACAAAGGGAGUCCACUGUAGUUCAGAUUUACAUGGAAACACCAUUCUUUGCUGUUUUACAUUAGUUUGGGACAAAUAAAAAGUUGUCUUUCACAGUUUCAGUCAAUUGGAUGUCUCAUUUUGGCAUGUAGCUGAGGUGGGAUAUAGCAAGCUGAAGUAACUGAACACUGAAUCCUCAUCACUGAAAGUGAAGACAUUGAAGAAAUGAACCGAGGAGUAGACUCCUGCUGUCUCUGUGACUGAGGCAGGGGAUGGGGAUUUGAGAAUCCACACCAGGACAGGAUAUAGACUGUGAGCUGGAACCUCAGGUGCAGCUGGACUCUGGGCUGCACAGCCAAGGAGAGAGGAAAGGAAUUAGUUUGCUCCCUGAUGCAGGAGCUGCUUGGGAAUUAUUCUGACCCUUGUUAUAAAUCAGGUGUUGAAGAUAUGGAAGAUGGUGGAAAUGCCUGGAAAUGUCUCUUUCAUGAUACAUUGACUCUGUUUGCCAUCUAGUCAAAAUUACCACCCUCUUCUGGUGCCUCAGUUUAGCACAUGAAAUUGAAGUUAUGCUGUAAGCCACAAUAAAUAAUCCAAAUCAGACUUGCA